GUGAGGCUUGGCCUCAGCUCCCUCUCUAGAGACCCAAGUGCAGCGGGCCGAGAAGUUUAGCCGCCUCGUCCGAAUGGCAAACACCCUGCCUGAUAACCGGGUUACGCACGUACGGUAUCAGGUGGCUGUGUCGUGUUUUCUCGAACGUCUCUCAGCAUGUGUCUUCCUCACUCCAGAACGCUGCCGCAGCUCACGGACCUCUUAAAGUCUUCUUUUGAACUCGGGUGCAAUAUAAAUAAAGAGCUGAUGGAAACCCUCAGCAGUGAGAAGCUACCUUGGCAUCAUCUAUGGAGGAGGCCUUACCUGAGAGCGGAGGCUGGAAAGGACAUGCCCACAGCCGUGCCCGUCUGUGGCCUGGGUACCGUUCUCCCCCAAAUUCUGGACCCACACGGAUCCCAAGACCUCCUGGAGGAACACUCUUCUAAUACUACGGACCUGUCUGCACACGGCGGUGGACGUGUUCCUGGCGGGUUUAUUUCCGCUCUGGAUGGAAAAGUCCAGUUGAGAGAGAGAGAGGUUGUGAAAACAGGAGACGGAAGAAAUAAUUAA
This 549-nucleotide long non-coding RNA is filed under the name Sus scrofa (pig). RNAcentral describes it as "lncRNA (ENSSSCG00070001299.1)". Lineage: Eukaryota; Metazoa; Chordata; Mammalia; Artiodactyla; Suidae. The record is from RNAcentral.